Molecule: ribosomal RNA, 497 nt
Filed under: uncultured bacterium
Lineage: Bacteria
Description: partial 16S ribosomal RNA
Rfam family: Bacterial small subunit ribosomal RNA
Source: RNAcentral
GAUGAACGCUGGCGGCGUGCCUAAUACAUGCAAGUCGAGCGAACAGACGAGGAGCUUGCUCCUCUGACGUUAGCGGCGGACGGGUGAGUUACAUGUGGAUAACCUACCUAUAAGACUGUGAUAACUUCGGGAAACCGGUGCUAAUACCUGCUAAUAUCUUGAACCGCAUGGUUCAAUAGUGAAAUACGGUUUUGCUGUCACUUAUUGAUUGAUCCGCGCCGCAUUAGCUAGUUGGUAAGGUAACGGCUUACCAAGGCAACGAUGAGUAGCCGACCUGAGAGGGUGAUCGGCCACACUGGAACUGAGACACGGCCCAGACUCCUACGGGAGGCAGCAGUAGGGAAUCUUCCGCAAUGGGCGAAAGCGUGACGGAGCAACGCCGCGUGAGUGAAGAAGGUCUUCGGAUCGUAAAACUCUGUUAUUAGGGAAGAACAAAUGUGUAAGUAACUAUGCACGGCUUGACGGUACCUAAUCAGAAAGCCACGGCUAACUACGUG